UGCGUAGGGGGCAAGCGUUGUCCGGAAUCAUUGGGCGUAAAGAGCGUGUAGGCGGCCCGGUAAGUCCGCUGUGAAAGUCCAGGGCUCAACCCUGGGAUGCCGGUGGAUACUGUCGGGCUCGAGUCCGGAAGAGGAGUGUGGAAUUCCUGGUGUAGCGGUGAAAUGCGCAGAUAUCAGGAGGAACACCAAUGGCGAAGGCAGCACUCUGGGACGUGACUGACGCUGAGGAGCGAAAGCGUGGGGAGCAAACAGG
This 253-nucleotide ribosomal RNA is filed under the name uncultured bacterium. RNAcentral describes it as "partial 16S ribosomal RNA". It matches the Rfam family "Bacterial small subunit ribosomal RNA", at positions 524 to 776 of the family's 1533-position model. The record is from RNAcentral.